Cavia porcellus (domestic guinea pig) is the source of this 883-nucleotide long non-coding RNA. RefSeq lists it as uncharacterized. NCBI's taxonomy places the organism in Eukaryota, Metazoa, Chordata, Mammalia, Rodentia, Caviidae. The transcript is spliced from 3 exons. The record is from RefSeq and is a predicted model, not a curated record.
ACGUUUAUGUGAUUCUAAAUACCACUCUCAGCUCAGAAGAACAGAACCAGCUGUGGCAAGCAGUUCGAGAAAAAGCUGAUCACAGACAUAAGAUUCGACACCGACAGAAAAUCACUGCUGAAGACUGAGAAGACUCAGGGCCAGCAGCCCCCAUUGUGGGUGUCCAUCUCAGAGUCCAAGUUCCACUAAAACUCUCAGUCUGACAUACGUGCAUUCAACAGUGAAGUUGUCCUGGCUAAAACACCUGGCACCAGAGUCUACCUGGACAUCAACCUUCAUCCUGUCGACUCCCCGAGGCUCCAGUUCAGUACCCUCUGCCAGCAGGAAGUAGUUAAAGAGAGAAAUCUUUGCCCCUUUUCAUAAUAAUAAUCAUAAGACGGGAUAUGAAAGGGUUUUGGCCCAGAUAGGACACUGUAGCCAGAAAAGCCACAACUGGAAGCAUAAAGCCCCAUCUUCCAUGCCCCUAGGAAGUUACCUGUGAUGCCAUCUUCCCACCCCUGGAAAUUUACAUAUGGCGCCAAACCUAGGACCAAUGGGCUACCUGUGCAUCCCUAAUGCAUGCCUUAGGUUCCACCCCAAACUGAGGCUAUUUACAGGCCCCCACACCACGUGUCCACCAGGGAGAGCGCCGGACGCCAGCGGUGGGGGUGCCGGUCAUCUCUCUCCAUGUUCUCAGAUUAAAGGCCACUUUUUAUUUUAUAUUUCUCAUCUUUUGUUAAUAUUUUUCAUCUUUUGGAAAUAACCCUAGCAGGCAUCAUAAUGAAUCCCACUAUCUUCACAGCUGUUGCCUAAACUUUCAAACCUGGUACUAUCAAGCAAAACAGAAUAGAGGAACAUCAGUCAAAACAAGAUUGUGAGAGCAAUACAGGGCUUUAAAUCAAGA